UAGGGAAUCUUCCACAAUGGACGCAAGUCUGAUGGAGCAACGCCGCGUGAGUGAAGAAGGUUUUCGGACCGUAAAGCUCUGUUGUUGGUGAAGAAGGAUAGAGGUAGUAACUGGCCUUUAUUUGACGGUAAUCAACCAGAAAGUCCGGCUAACUACGUGCCAGCAGCCGCGGUAAUACGUAGGUGGCAAGCGUUGUCCGGAUUUAUUGGGCGUAAAGCGAGCGCAGGCGGAAGAAUAAGUCUGAUGUGAAAGCCCUCGGCUUAACCGAGGAAUUGCAUCGGAAACUGUUUUCUUGAGUGCAGAAGAGGAGAGUAGAACUCCAUGUGUAGCGGUGGAAUGCGUAGAUAUAUGGAAGAAUACCAGUGGCGAAGGCGGCUCUCUGGUCUGCAACUGACGCUGAGGCUCGAAAGCAUGGGUAGCGAACAGGAUUAGAUACCCUGGUAGUCCAUGCCGUAAACGAUGAGUGCUAAGUGUUGGGAGGCUUCCGCCUCUCAGUGCUGCAGCUAACGCAUUAAGCACUCCGCCUGGGGGAGUACGACCGCAAGGUUGAAAC
RNAcentral lists this ribosomal RNA (553 nucleotides) under uncultured bacterium. RNAcentral describes it as "partial 16S ribosomal RNA". It matches the Rfam family "Bacterial small subunit ribosomal RNA", at positions 355 to 900 of the family's 1533-position model. The record is from RNAcentral.